CAAACGGCUCAGGAGAUCUCACGCGGCUCAACACCGGGACAACGGAGCAUCCCAGGACUACUGAAAAUCCCAUUUCCUACUGAAAUUCCGACUGGAUUCCUACGAGCUCCUCUUCCACGUUAAAGCCAACUCCAAAAAGGCUGUGACAUAAUAGUCACUUCAACCAAGAGAAAAACCUGAGGGAAAGAUUUUCAAGGUGCUAAGUAGCAUUGCACCCUUUAAUUAGUUUGUAACUAUUGUGAAGCUGAGAAACAAAUACCAGCAGAAAAUCUGAAAAGUUGAGUUGUUCAACCACUUGCACAGAAUCUCUUUUCAGCACUUACCCUAUAGGAACUGGUGGGUACUGGAAUAUAAACAAGAUUUCAUUUUCCCCACAUUCUUGCAAGCCACGCACCAAUUUUUGUGGUGUCCUUACAAUUCCUAUGGAAGAAAAGAAAGAAUCUGUAUGA
Molecule: long non-coding RNA, 449 nt
Organism: Corapipo altera (White-ruffed manakin)
Lineage: Eukaryota; Metazoa; Chordata; Aves; Passeriformes; Pipridae
Exons: 2
Source: RefSeq, a predicted model, not a curated record